CAGCCCGCGGCUGGUGGGGUCCGGCGGGGCUGUGCGGGCGGCGGGGGGCUGUGGCCAUGGGGGUCCCUAAGUUCUACCGGUGGAUCUCGGAGCGGUACCCUUGCCUCAGCCAGGUGCUGAAGGAGCAUCAGAUUCCAGAAUUUGACAACUUAUACCUGGACAUGAAUGGCAUUAUACAUCAAUGUUCACAUCCAAAUGACGAUGAUGUUCACUUCAGAAUCUCAGAAGAUAAGAUUUUUGCUGAUAUUUUUCACUAUUUAGAAGUACUGUUUCGCAUUAUUAAACCAAGGAAGGUUUUCUUCAUGGCAGUUGAUGGAGUAGCUCCAAGAGCAAAAAUGAAUCAGCAGCGUGGGAGACGUUUUAGGUCAGCAAAAGAGGCAGAGGACAAAAUAAAAAAGGCAUUAGAAAAGGGAGAAACUCUCCCUACAGAAGCCAGAUUUGACUCCAAUUGUAUUACACCAGGAACUGAAUUCAUGGCCAGACUGCAUGAGCAUCUUAAAUAUUUUGUAAAUAUGAAGAUUUCCACAGACAAAUCCUGGCAAGGAGUAACAGUCUACUUAUCAGGCCAUGAGACUCCGGGGGAAGGUGAGCAUAAAAUUAUGGAGUUCAUCAGAUCAGAAAAAGCAAAGCCCCAUCAUGAUCCAAACACAAGACAUUGUCUCUAUGGCUUAGAUGCUGACUUGAUUAUGCUGGGAUUAACAAGUCAUGAGGCGCACUUUGCGCUCUUAAGAGAAGAAGUCAGAUUUGGUGGUAAAAAAUCUCAAAGAGCAUGUGCACCAGAGGAAACCACAUUUCAUUUACUGCACUUAUCACUGAUGAGAGAAUAUAUUGAUUAUGAAUUUUCACCAGUAAAAGACAAGAUUUCCUUUGAGUAUGAUAUUGAAAGGAUAAUAGAUGAUUGGAUCUUAAUGGGUUUCCUUGUUGGAAAUGAUUUUAUUCCUCAUCUACCUCAUUUACACAUUAAUCAUGAUGCACUGCCACUACUUUAUAGAACAUACAUGGCUAUCUUGCCAGAACUGGGAGGUUACAUAAAUGAGAAUGGACAUCUGAAUUUAAAACGCUUUGAGAAAUAUCUCACAAGAUUGUCAGAUUUUGAUCGUGAACACUUCAGUGAGGUCUUUGUAGACCUAAAAUGGUUUGAAAGUAAAGUAGGCAAUAAAUACCUCAAUGAGGCAGCUGGUAUUGCAGCAGAAGAAGCCAGAAAAAAUAAACAAAAGAAACAGAAGGCUCAGGAAAAUUCUAUAUGUUUGGCUGCUUUAGAAAAAAAUGAAGGUGAAGUGACCCCUAAAACUGUGUUGGAAGAUGAACCAGAAGAUGACGAUCUGUUUGAAACGGAGUUCAGGCAAUACAAAAGAACUUACUACAUGACAAAAAUGGGUGUAGAAGUAGUUUCUGAUGACUUCUUGGCUGAUCAAGCUGAAUGUUAUGUCCAGGCAAUACAAUGGAUUUUGCAUUAUUAUUACCAUGGAGUUCAAUCAUGGAGCUGGUAUUAUCCUUAUCAUUAUGCACCUUAUCUGUCAGAUAUUCGGAACAUCAGCGAACUCAAAAUCAAAUUUGAACUGGGAAAACCUUUCAUGCCAUUUGAACAGCUUCUUGCUGUUCUUCCAGCAGCAAGCAAAGAUCUGCUACCUAAAUGCUAUCAGCAUUUGAUGACUAGUCAAGACUCUCCAAUUAUAGAAUAUUAUCCACUGGAUUUUAAAACUGACCUAAAUGGAAAACAGCAAGAAUGGGAAGCUGUAGUAUUAAUUCCGUUUAUUGAUGAGAAACGACUGCUGCAGGCCAUGGAAUCCUGUAAUAAGUGCCUAAAAGAAGAAGAGAAAGGAAGAAAUACUCACAGUGCUUGCUUAAUGUACUGGUAUGACAAAGAUGCAGAGUUCCAGUACCUGUCACCGUGGCCAGAGAAAUUCCCUGCAAUAGAAAGGUGUCAUACAAGGUAUAAAACAAUACCUUUGGAUGCAUGGCACGUAGAAAUAACCCACAAUAAGAUAACUAAAAUUAACAAGAGUGCACUAUAUUUUUGUGGAUUUCCUACUUUAAAGCACAUUAAACAUAAGUUCUAUCUUAGAAAAAGUGGUGUACAGGUGUUUCAGCAAAGCAGCCAUGGAGAGAACAUGAUGUUAGAAAUCACAGCUGAUGAGAGCUCAAAAGAACAGAUAGUAGAAAAUGUUGCCAGUUUGGUACUUGGAAAGCGUGUUUUUGUUAACUGGCCACACCUUGAAGAAGCCAGAGUUGUUGCUGUGUCAGAUGGAGAAACUAAGUUUUAUUUGGAAGAACCACAUGGCACACAGAAGCUUUACAUGGGAAAUGCAGUGCCCCCAACUAAAGUGGCGUACGUUGGAGAUAAGGAGCAAACCAUAUGGUUAAAAGAAGUUCAAGGCAUUUCAGAACACUACCAGAGAAGAAAAGGAAUAAUUAUCCAUGACACAUUAAUAGUUGUAUAUGCUCAGUUACUCACUGGUAAUAGAUAUCAACUAAACCAAAAUGGGGAAGUUUAUUUGGAGAAGCAGUGGUCAAAACAAGUUCUUCCUUUCGUUUACCAAACUGUUGUCAAGGAUAUCAAAGCCUUUGACUCUCGUUUUUCAAACAUCAAGACAUUGGAUGACUUGUUUCCUCCUGGAAGUACAGCCUUUAUGCUGGGAUCUCCUUACUAUGGCUGCAUGGGAGAAGUUCAAGAUUCACGUGAUGUGAUCACAGAAGGUAGAAUUCGUGUAGUUUUCAAUAUUCCAUGUGAACCCCAGCUUGAUCCUUUAAUACAGAACCAGCAUAAAUAUUCUGUGAAAUACAAUCCUGCAUAUAUUUUGGCCAGCCGUCUUGGAGUAAGUGGAUAUCUUGUCUCCAGAUUUACAGGGAGUAUCUUUAUUGGAAGAGGAUCAAAGAAAAAUCCUCAUGGAGAUCACAAAGCAAACGUGGGGCUAAACCUGAAGUUCAAUAAGAAAAAUGAAGAAGUUCCUGGCUACACUAAGAAGGUUGGAAAUGAAUGGAUGUAUUCUUCUGCAGUAGAACAACUACUGGCUGAGUAUUUAGAAAGGGUCCCUGAACUAUUUAAUUAUAUAGCCAAGAACAGCCAGGAAGAUAUCUUCUAUGAAGAUGACAUUUGGCCUGGAGAGGAUGAGAAUGGUGCUGAGAAAGUUCAAGAAAUUGUUGUCUGGUUAAAGGCACAUCCGGUGUCUGCUUUGUCUCGCUCAUCUUGUGACUUGCAAAUUCUGGAUGCAGCCAUUGUUGAGAAAAUUGAAGAAGAAAUAGAGAAAUGCAAGCAGAGAAAGAGCAACAAGAAGGUGCGAGUAACUGUGAAACCCCAUUUGCUGUACAGACCAUUAGAACAACAGAAUGGGGUCGUUCCAGAUCGAGAUGCAGAGUACAGGCUGUUUGACCGUGUUGUCAAUGUGAGAGAGAACUUUUCUGUUCCAGUUGGUCUCCGAGGUACCAUUAUAGGAAUUAAAGGAGCCAGCAGAGAAACAGAUGUGCUCUUCGAAGUUUUGUUUGAUGAAGAAUUCCUUGGAGGCCUAACUAUAAGGUGCUCACCUGCCAGAGGUUAUCGUCUGCCAUCAAGUGCCUUAAUUAACCUGUCUCAUGGUAGUCGGUCAGAAAUGGGAAAUCAAAAACUGACAGCCAUAGUUAAACCUCAGCCAGCUGUGAAUCACUACAAUUCAUAUACAUGUGAUCUGUCAUCUGUAUGCUCUCAAAAAGUUCACCUGGGAGGCCUCAACCAUUCUCCUCGCUCCCUCUUUGUUCCUACUCAACAACUGAAUGGAAGACAGCAUUACAAUCUCAGGGCUGAAAAUCAGGGCAACUCCAACUCACCCCAGAAAGGAUCGUUUCUGAGUGGCAAUCAGAAAAAUAAAGCACAGAGUAAGCAAGAUGAUGAAUUCUGCAGCAUAUGGCAAUCAUUGCAGAGUUCUGGGAAGUCUCACCACAAUCAGCAAAACAUGCCUGAGAAGGGUGCAGUUCUACCUCAGGAGAUCAAGCUGGCAACUGGUAAUCAGUUCUAUAAGCCAGGAUUCAAUGACAGCAGCUUUAAAGGUCAGCAAAGAAAACAGGACCCCUAUAAAAAAUUUAAAGAAGAUUCCAAAGUUACAAGAGGUGAAAGUCAGCCACACAAUAAAAUAUCAAACAAACAGAAUUUUGCAGGUGUGAAUAAGUACAAUGUCAAACUUUUGAAGAGGAAUGAAAGUCCCAACAUGCCUGUAAAUCAGAAGGCUGCAGUUGAUGGUCCUUGUACAGGUGGAAAGAAGGACAAUGAACUUGAAAGUCUCCUAGCUUCUUUGAAAAUUCCCAAGGAAAAUGAAGUACAGACUUAUUCCAAGGAAGGAAGAGCUACGAAUGAAGAACAUCUGUCACCACAAUCAUUUGCUAUGAAAGGAACACAGAUGCUCAAAGAGAUUUUGAAGAUAGAUGGCUCUGACCUGGAAACAAGGAAUGAAGUGAAAUCCCAAGUUAAUGACAUUCCUGCUCCUGCUAGUAGACAAGAUUGCCAUGGACCUGCCUUGCAAUAUAGACAAACAAAAAAAAUUGCUGCUUAUAUGAACAAGCCUCAUAGCACUGGAGGCCCUCAGAACACACCAGCACUGGAAACUGGAGGUCACCCUUUUGCUUGUCCACAGCCUUCACUGUCUACUGUUUCUGAACUUUCUCGUAUUUGUUCACUUGUUGGAAUGCCACAACCAGAUUUCUCUUUCCUAAAAACACCACAGACCAUGACAGUUUGUCACAUAAAAUUAUCAAAUGGUUUGUUGGUUCAUGGACCACAGUGUCAUUCUGAAGCUGAAGCAAAGGAGAAAGCUGCACUUUUUGCUUUACAGCGUUUGAGUUCUAUCGGAGUAAACUUCCCUUUGCCUCCACCUCCGCCUCCACCAGUGUUUCCAAAUUAUCAACCACUAGGAGUUCCUGUACCACAUGGAUCUAUUUCUCCAGUAUUUGCACAACCCCCUGCUAAUAUAAUGCCUCCAUCAUCUCACAUUUUUGGUCCAGUGCCCUGGGGAGCUCCAGUGCCUAAGCAUUAUUAUCCUGGCUCCUAUCCAGGAAAUGUGUCUCUUGCAGGAUCUAUACCAGUUGGUUCUCACAACCAGUUUAUACCUCUGCAGUUAUGUUCUUCUCUUUCUGUCUCUGGAAAGGGGACACAGUGACACCAAGGGCAUAAGGGCAGUCUGAAUACACACUCUUGGCCAAAAGAACCCAAAUUCAGGUGCGUGAGGACCCAUGAAUAUUGAGACUGUAACUGAUAUAUGUUUCGAAGAAUCUGAUACCAUGAGAUUUUUUCCCUGUGAAUUUCCAGACUUUGAAAUCAAUGUUCUUUUAAAGAGGUGUUCAUCCCUGGAUUCUGUAGGUACAAAUGACCAUUCAUCAAAUGCAUAUACACAGGCAUAUAUAUAUAUCUAUAUACACGCACACAGAUAUGGGACUCAAUCUCUUAUUUUAUCAAAGCUGUUCCUAGUUCUAUCAUUUUUAGUCCACAUCAUAAUUCCUUAAGAGACAUCUAGAGGAUGAUGGACAUAUAUAUAUACAUUGCACAUCUCCAAAUGUAGAUAUUACUUAGGAUGGGUUAAAAGCAUGGGCAAAUAAUGAAAUACUAACAGAAUCAGUAUACUAGUUUUCACUGCAUUUGCUUUGGUACAUAAAUUCUUGGCUUAAAACUUGAUUGUCCUAAAGUCCACCUUAUUCUCUGUCAAAGAUUACUUCUGUUGCAGAGCCGGCAUACAGGAAGGACUGCUUGUGCCUCAGGCACAAUGCAGAACCUCACGUGUAUGGGCACAGUUUUGAUGUGCAAUUCUCCAGUGAAAAUUCUGGUUUAACCAGUCUCUUACUUGUUCCCACUGGAUUGUGCCAAACUGUUUGUAUCACCACAUUAUGAACCAUAUCAAGGAAUUAAUCUGAUUGAAACUCUUUCCCCCAUGUUAUUUUUCAGCCUGAUAGUUCGCCGCGGAGCCCCAAGAACAGCUGUGUUGGUACAACAGUUCGCACUGUGAGGGCAGGAUGAUUUAGCAAGAGUGGAACUGCUUAAGAAACAUCCCAUCGCUGCCUAAAACUCACAUCACCCAUGAAGCUAACAUGCUAGAUUAACUGAUGUCUUGUAUGUGGUUCUGUCUCUUGACUUCAAGGAAAGUGGUAAAUUCUGACAGGAGUAUGGGAGGAACUGCUGAAAAUGGUCAUACGGUGAAUUACUGCAGCAAAAGUUGCCAAAAUGUCAUCGCUUUCAUUUUGGGCCUUCUGUUCCCAGGCAAGACUUAAGUGAUGUGUGUGGGCUGCACCAACCAAUGGAGCAGCAGGAAUUAGUGGGCUCUUUCUUAUUUAAAGGCAAACUGACUAAGGACUGUGAUGUCAAAGCUUUCAUAAUGUUAAAACUUGUUAAAAGGGUAGAGCUAGAGAAGCGGGUAAAAUGGUAAAUAAGAGUUGGAUGAGGCAGCAGAAAGGUAGAUGUGUCUUGACAAAAUACAGCUAAGGAAGGGAAGUUAAAAAAACAUGCAUUACAAGGUUUGGGUUUUGUUCACCUAGAUUCUAGUAGCUGGAAUUCUUUUAGCCCUGCCAGUGGCAAGUUUGAUUCAUACUAGAAACCUGGGAUGAGCAGAGUCUCCUGUGCAUUAGUCACACAACCGAAAUGCACCUGAGAAUACCUUUAUUUACAAGAAAACAUAAGUUCGCUAUUCCAAAUACAGUUUAUUUAAUAAUUUGGAAAUUUUAGUUAAUAAACUGGUCCUAGAAAAUGUCAAUAUCAUGUUUUUUUUCUAGUAAUUAGGUCUACUGGAUCUGUAGCACUCCUAUCUCUCAAGGCCUAUUUUAACCUGGAUAACCGGGGCAAACCCCUCUUGCUUGGCAUCCUCUAAAGCAUACCUGUUGCUGACUGAAACAUGCUGAGCAUAUUGACAGUGAUUACAAAUGUUCAAUAUAAACUACUCAUGGUGGGGGUUUUGCCAUUGCUGCCAGCAAUGGAGGAUCUUCUUGUCCCUGAUGUUCUGCCUUUUGGUUGGUUUCACUUAAUAACUCUUUCCUUUGCUACAGCACUGGACAGUCCCUGGAGUGCUGCCACUCCUUCAUUUGGUUUCAUAUUCCAGUAAAAGAUAACACCAGUCACGCUUCCCAGAGACCAGAGAAGCUGAGGAUUUCAGCUGAGAAGAUGCAGAUGUAUGGGACACAGCUGCUGCGGUAAUUGGUCUGUGACCCCAGGUGUGUGAAUUCUCUGCUUUCUGAACAGGGCAAGUGGCACCUGCAUGCUCUCGCUCGCCCAGGAAGACCAGGGUGGUAGUUGAAGUUAUGCAGGCUUGUUUUCAGCGCUGCAGUGCAGUGUAAGAGGAAGGUGUCUGUACAUCUUCACUUCAAAUUGAAUGCUAAGAUGAACUUGGGGCUUAUACCCCUGUUAGCAGUAAGAUUUUUCUCCGAGGGCGACAGAGAUUUUGGAUAGACAAAGAGUGCCUGUGUGGGAGUUGUAUUAUUUGUGACAAAAUAACGUAAGCUGAUGCUGUAUAAGUAAUGUAUGGACAAGCUAUGCAUGUCUGAAAAUUCAUUGCCUCCUUUAUUGCAUUGUUUUUAUCACAUUGCAAGCAGAACAGUAAUACAAAAUCUGUAUUUCAUAAGCCUUUCAUAAAUUGAGCAAUUCUAAUACAUGCUACACAACUGAGAUUAUGUACAAACUGCAACUGUACAAGUUGGUUCAUGUUAUCUUUUUCCAGCAUAUAUAUGGUGUUUUUUUUCCAAGAUACAUCUAAAUUCUUAUUAACAUACUAAACAGUUCAAGAUUUGCAUGAAGAAAUAAGCUUAUGGUCACUUCUAUGCAAUACAGUGCAUCGCAGGGGGUAUGUAUUUGUUACAUUAAGAGCUUGCAAAAGAAAAAAGUAACCUGCAUCUUCAUUUUCUUUUUGAUGUUUUGUUUCAUCUUGCAGUGAGGCAGGCCUCACUUGGUAUUGUAAAAACAUGAAGGAUGCCUAAAUGUUUUCUCCCAGUUUUUCUUAGUUUUUUGAAUGUUUGGAGAGGAUUUAACCUUUUAUACCAGUGGCACAUGUUGAAUUUUAUUUAGGGAGAUUUCUUCAGGAGUUCUAAAUAUUUACCAAAACUAACAGAAUAAUUUAAAUAGUUUGAAGAAAAAGUCUUGAUCAGAUGUGAAGUACUUUGAUACCUUUUCUCUGACAUACAGCUAUGUAUGUCAAGAGAUUAUAAUUUGUCAAGGUAUAGCCAAAGAGAAUGUAAAAGCCAGAAAUGACUUUUUAAUGAGUCCUUCCUUAAGGAGGAGAGGUAAAGCAGCCAUUUCUUAGCUUUCCCUUUCACAUGCCCUCAGUUCCCCAUGAUCCAAACCUUCGUCCUGGUGACCCCUGUAGCUGCCCGGGUGAGGUGGAGUGCCACUUCCUGUGUGGCUUUCACUGUCCUUAGUAUUCCUGCCCUAAAGAUCUAAUAACAUCAGACUGUUAUCCCACAUAAUAUCCUUCUCUUGUUCAUAGUGCUACUUUUUGUAAGAAGGGCCAAACCGAAGUGCAGGGGGAAAAUGUUUUCUAUGUGUUUCUUGCUUUUGAUUGUCCUGCUCUAAUUAAAUGAGUUAAAACUGA
RNA transcript from Tyto alba (common barn owl), 8528 nucleotides. It is a transcript of the gene named 5'-3' exoribonuclease 1, with no coding region annotated. NCBI's taxonomy places the organism in Eukaryota, Metazoa, Chordata, Aves, Strigiformes, Tytonidae. The record is from RefSeq and is a predicted model, not a curated record. The transcript is spliced from 44 exons.